GGGGCCGUGGGGUAGCCUGGUAUCCUGCCAGCUUCGGGAGUUGGCGACCUGAGUUCGAAUCUCAGCGGCCCCA
This 73-nucleotide transfer RNA is filed under the name Candidatus Micrarchaeota archaeon CG_4_10_14_0_2_um_filter_55_9. RNAcentral describes it as "tRNA-Pro". It matches the Rfam family "tRNA". From Rfam's summary of the family: Transfer RNA (tRNA) molecules are approximately 80 nucleotides in length. Their secondary structure includes four short double-helical elements and three loops (D, anti-codon, and T loops). Lineage: Archaea; Nanobdellati; Microcaldota. The record is from RNAcentral.